Erpetoichthys calabaricus (reedfish) is the source of this 336-nucleotide long non-coding RNA. RefSeq lists it as uncharacterized. NCBI's taxonomy places the organism in Eukaryota, Metazoa, Chordata, Cladistia, Polypteriformes, Polypteridae. The transcript has 2 exons. The record is from RefSeq and is a predicted model, not a curated record.
AUACUUACUUCAGUUCCAAUAUGAGUCUAGUGGCAGACCUCCGCAGCUGUCUGAUUCAGUAGCUUCACUGAACAACCCUCAGUAUUGCAGAAUUUUGUCAUUUGGUUUACUUGACUUCAAUCAGCCAUGCCUUCCCCAGCACUUAACUAUAAUACCGGAUGCUUGACAGCCCUACCACCUCUGAAAUCAGUUCUGGUAUCCAUCCCCCUGGACCCACCUCUUCUUGCCUGACCUGUACUUAACCAGAAGAGUCACCAUCUUGGAGCAGUCACCUUUUGCCUUUUUUGAUCAUGUUUAGAACUCACGUUUAUUUUCAGUUAUACAGGGUUGUCCUUG